Molecule: long non-coding RNA, 201 nt
Organism: Carassius auratus (goldfish)
Lineage: Eukaryota; Metazoa; Chordata; Actinopteri; Cypriniformes; Cyprinidae
Exons: 2
Source: RefSeq, a predicted model, not a curated record
AAACAGAAAGGCAAAAAGCAACAGAAUGUAUUUCAGGUUGCGAACAAACAGUCAAAACCCAAGACCAAAGCGAAACCCGUCAAGACCUCUUUGAAACAUAUAAACACUUUGAGAAAUGAAAAAGUGGAGAGCUUAAAUCAGAUGUUCACAGAAGUACAGCAAGAUGUCAGAAGUAUAUCAAAAUCAACAUCCAGUGAACCC